Gasterosteus aculeatus aculeatus (three-spined stickleback) is the source of this 1024-nucleotide long non-coding RNA. The record is from Ensembl. NCBI's taxonomy places the organism in Eukaryota, Metazoa, Chordata, Actinopteri, Perciformes, Gasterosteidae.
GAAAGUCAGGUGUUUAAUUAUUUGAUCAAAAUGAGUAGAUUAGGUUUAGCAUUGAACUUCACAAACUAGCGAGGGUUGAUUAAAGACACUUCUUUUGUGUGGAGGAGAGAGGACCCAAACGCAAGAGCAGGUAAAGUCUGUUUUAAUCAACUUAGAAUGUCCAAAAACAAAAUGGCACUAAAGGCUUAAGAGGAGAGGUGCGGGCGCUUGGCCGGCGACGGGGAAUCCCAGAGAGUGCAGGGAACGAGCUCCAGGGCGAGGGUAGAGCACUCCAGACAGCAGGCCGCCCACGUCAAACCGGAGGCUGGGUGGAACAGAGGUUUGGACUCGGGCCACACCGUAAGGCGCGAACCGUACCGGACACGACAAGGCCGGAGAAACAAGACUACAGAUGUUUUUUCAAACGGGCAUCGUGACAACAGCCUGCCACAGAGUUUGGGUCAUCAGUGUAGUCGUUAAGCAGGCCGUAAUGGGCCGUGCGAGGCUGUUCUGCUCUGGCGCCGGGCCGGCUGACCUGUGGAUCACACCAACAUUAUCGGCCGACGGAUCGCACCAUUAUGCCCUUGAUGGAGGGGAACUGUGGAUGUGUCUGGAGGAGAUCGAAAAUGCGUUCCCAGUGUGCUGCCAAUCUGCAGACACGCCACAGGCAGAAGCACUAAAGGUCACAGCUGUCUGCGAUGCAGCAGAGACUAUCGAACGUGAGGGAAGAGAACCAAACAACGAUGAUUUGUCAUUCCGGGUGACUUCCUUACAAAAUGCAAUGCUUCUGUUGUCUAGAUGACUAAUAAGGCAGUUUUAAAAUAAAAAUAGAAACUCCAAUGAUACAACAUUGUCUUGUGAAAUGAAAUAAAUAAUCAACCCUGACCUGCGGCGUUGUUGUAUUCCAGCAUUCUAUGUCUGCCAAUUAUUCAUUUACUCUAUCCACAUGAAAAGGUUUUUCAUGUUUUAGAUUAAUCAAAAUGAAUGCAGAAAACUUUCUUCAAUGAUGAUGAACCCGAAAAGUGAUAUUUUCAUAAAUAAAUUG